CUUUUAAGUAGGGGAGUUUGAGUAAAUAUAUGGCAAGUAUAGGGGAAAUUUUCCCUUUGUUCUAUUUGGGAAAGAUAUUAUGCAAUCUUUUAUUUUGGGAUAGCUAUUAGAGAUGUAGCGAAGUUCCUAGUUUGAGUUCUGUUGAGUUUCUAUUUUGCUAGUUUAUGUUUCAACGAGUAAUUACCAAUUAGAAGUCUUUGUUUUUUGGGUUUUAUGAAUAGACAGUGAAGAAUGGAAUACUCAGUUAAUGUAGAGCUUGCCUGCACCACCUGUGCUGGUGCACCCUCCCAUCCCCUCUCUCCCCUUCCACCUACGAGAUCCUCUCUUCUUCCUUUUUAUUUUCUUCCAUUCUUCUCUUCCUUCUUCCUUCUGUUUCAUUUCCUGUUACUGUUCUGCCCUAAUGGUACCUGCGGUUUCCCUAUGCUGCUCAUAAAUCUCUAUUCCCGUCUCUGUUCUCUCAUAUUUGGGUCGAAGGAUCCUUUUUCGCGACAAACCCCCCAAGCCUUAUCUCCUAAACUCCCUUUUAUCGUAUGUUUGAAACCCAAUUGCAGUUCUGAAGUUGCUUUACCGUCAAAGCCAAUUUGCAGGAAUUUCUUACAGAUUAUUUACCUGACUUUUGGACCUCGGACCCCUCUAAGGAAUCUGUGUUCAAAUUCCUCACCUCAAAUUUCAGGUCGAAUGCUGGAGUAUCAAGAGGUUCUUUCUCUUCAAGUCCCACUGGUUUUUGCCUCUCUUGUUUUGGCUGGAGGAGACAAUACCCCAUCAAACAAAUUUAUGUAAUUUGGGGUAUUGUGACUCGUCUCAAUUGACACUAUGCCCUCCUUUAUUUUAUAAUAGUAGGAUUAGGGUUUUUUAAAACAUUGCAAUGAAAGUAUGCCCCAGUGGACAGUUCUACCCUGAUACCAACAUUGCACACUCUCCCUCAAGUUGGUGAAUGAAUAUCACACAUUCCCAACUUGCACAAAAUAGAAUGAAAAACUUUACUAUUAAGUCCCUUUGUAAGAACAGCUGCUAGCUGAUCUCUACUUCUCACAAAUGGGAUGUAUAUCAGUCCUUGCUUAGAUUUUCCCCUUGAUAAAAUGUUUGUCAAUCUGCACAUGCUUAGUAUGAGCAAAUUGAACUAGAUUGUGUGCAAUGCUAAUGGCUAACGUAUUAUCACAUCAUAGUUGUAUGGCAACUGAACAUGCACACCCAAGCUUUGAAGAAGUCCCUGAAGCCAAAGUAACUCACAAAUGCCAUGCGUCAUGGCUCGAAACUCAGCCUCUGCACUAGAUCUGGCCACAACUGCCUACUUCUUGUUGCGCCAUGUAACUAGGUUUCCACCAAUAAAGGUCAAGUAGCCUGAUGUGGAUCGAUAGUCAUCUGGAGAGCUUUCCCUAUCAACAUCAUUAUAGGCCUCGACCCGCAUAUGACCAGAAGGGGGGUGAAUGGGAUUCCAUUCUUUGGAGCUGAUUUUAGAUACUAAAGAAUACGAAAUACCAGCUCCAUGUGAGAGGAAUAAGGGUCAUGUAUGUACUGACUCACCAUGCUAACAACAUGAGUAAUAUCUGGUCAAGUGUGGGACACGGGACAGAUAAAUGAACCACCUAACUAAUAUGUGAUAUCUACCCUUAUCAACAAGUUCACCUUCCUUGCUUUUAAGCUGAGUAUUAACCUCAAUGGGUGUUUCAAUAGCUUACAUCCGAACAUACCAGUAUCAGAAAGAAGAUCUAGGGUGUAUUUUCCCUAGAACGAAGCUACACCUUUUGUAGAUCGUGCCACCUCAAUGCCAAGAAAGUACCUUAACUUCCCAAGGUCCUUGAUUUCAAACUCCUUACUAGGAUAAACCUUUGAGUUUAGAGAUUUCUGCUGGAUCACUCCCAAUGACAGCUAUAUCAUCCACAUACACAAUAAGGACAGUAACCUGAUCGCCCACCUUUUAAUGAAUAGGGUGUGAUCAGAACUACUAUGUUUGAAUCUAGUUGCAACCAUAGCCUUGUGAAAGUGACCAAACCAUGUCCUAGGAGACUGCUUCAGCCCAUGUAAUACCCUUCUUUAGCUUUGUAGACUUUCCCUUGAGUUUCCUUGCUAGAGUAACCUGGAGAAACAUUUAUAUAUACUUCCUCAGUUAACUCACCAUGAAGGAAAGCAUUCUUGACAUCCAACUGCUGUAGAUCCCAUCCAAAGUUCAUUGCAUAGGAGAUAAUCGCUCGAACGAUUUUCAUCUUAGCAACCGAGCUAAAUGUCUCCUAGUAGUCAAUCCUAUAGGUUUGAGUAAAACCUUUGGGUACCAAUCUCAUUUUGUAUCUGUCUAUAGUCCCAUCUGCAUUCUGCUUGACUGUAAGAUCCCAUUUUGCAUCCCACAGUUUGCUUGUGCAAUGGAAGAGUAACUAAGUCCCAGGUGCCAUUCUUUCUAGGUGCCCUCAUUUCCUCAUCCAUUGCAUCCUUCCACCAUGGUUCUACAAAAACCUCCUACUAGGUCUGGGGAAUGGAAACAGAAGACACAAAAGCACGAUAGGAAGGAGAUAGGGAGUUAUAAAACACAAUAUUGGAAAUAGGAUGUUGAGUACAAGUCCUACUUCCUUUACGAACAACAAUAGGAAUAUUAAGAGAUGGAUCAAGAGGGAAAAGGUUACCUGAUGGGAGAAUAUACUUUGGAUUAGAGGGCAGUUGUGAUUGAACAAAGAUCAGUAAUAAUGGUAGUGGUGUCGGUUCUCUUUGUCCGGUGUGAAUACACUUGUUACUCCUUUUGAGUAGAUUGGGGUUCCCCUUGUACAAAAUCCUCUUGUAUCCCUUUUCCAGUCACACUCUCCUCUUCCACUUGGGAAAGUGACCAUCAAAUGGAGGAAUCAAAGGUACCUCUUCCCUUCCAAUAGACUCCCUUUGAAGAGGUGCCAAAGAUGAGUAGUAAUCCUAUGUCUCAUGGAACACCACAUCCAUGGUAACUACUAUACGCCAGGAAGGUGGGUGGUAUCUCACAAAUAUAUGUUGAUGUCUCCUGGGAUCAAGCUUGCCAUGGAGAUGAUGGUUUCAGGCAAAGCAAACAGAACCAAAAACCUUGGGAGGCACCACAAAAGAUCUGGACCCAGUAAGUAACUCAUUGGGACAAUAAAAUCUUAGGGCAUGAGAUGGCAUCUGAUUAAUAACAUAUGCCACAAUAAGAAUUGCCUCACUCCAUAAUGGGGUAGGCAAAUGCAUAUAAAAUAUAAGAGAUCUGGUAGCCUCUAACAAGUGUAUUUUUCCUCUCUGCAACCCCACUCUGAGUAGGUGUAUCGACAUAACUAGUCUGGUGAACAAUGCCAUGGUUUGCAAGGUAAGUCUGAAAGGAACAUUUCUUAUAAUUUGUACUAUUAUCUAGUUUCCAUACCUUAAUUCGAGCAUCAUAUUGAUUCAUAACCAAACAAUGAAAUUUCUGGAAACAACGGAAGAUUUCAUUCUUAUAAUGCGAUAGGUAUAUCCAUGUGAGGUGUGUAAGAAAAUUAAUGAAAAAGUGACAAACUAUCGAUAAGCAGUCAUAGACACAUGGCGAGAAGGGCUCCAAACAUCAGAAUGAACCAAUGAAAAAGGAACACUUCUAUUAUGAUAACUAGAAUAAACAUUCCAAGUGUUUUGUAAACACUCAAGCAUCACAAAUAAACUGGUCCUGAUUACAUUACUUAAAUAAAACUGGAAUUAACUUAGAUAAAUUUCCCAAAGGGGGAGACUUAAGUGACGAUGCCAACUGUAUGAAUCUGAUAAUGCCAACUCUGAAGCUGUGUAAUGUGCUUGAGUUGGCAUAGUUGGUGUAAAUCCAAUAUCCAAAUAGUAUAGGCCACCACUCACUCUACCACUUCCAGUUAUUGCCUCUGUCAGCCAGGUCCUGAAACAGACAAUGAGUAGGGAAGUGACUUUACAAUUCAAAUCCUUAGUAAUACUAAAAAUGGAUAAGAGAUUGGUAGAAAACUAAAGAACAUGCAAAACAGAUAAGAGACAACGAUGGAGAGCAUUUGAUAGCUUCCAUUAGCAGAGGGAACCAUUAGCACUCGAACCCUGGUUUUACUUGAGGAUGGAGAAUAUGUGGAAAAAGAACUAGGUGACCCACUCAUGUGAUUUGUAUAACCUGAAUCAAUUUUCAGUUUCGAAUCUACCUCAAGAACUGUUGGUUAGAAUCGAAACCAAACCGAAUUGCUUAUUAAAUCCAAAGCAACUAUUAUAUUGAAGGGUUAAUGUGAAGGGAAGUAAUUAUUGAUGAGUUUGUUCCCAAUACCUUGAUCAAAUAGACAAAUACAAAUUAAUUGUUAUCACGGCACUGCUGAGUACUGACAAACCACCCUGGACGUAAAACACAUUGUCACAAUUUUAUUAAAAUAAUAUAAUUAUUAAGUAAAAGAAAAAUAAAGAAGAAAAGAUGAAGGGGACAAUAAUGAACUUCGGGAGUCAGGAGGCCUUUCCGUUUCCUAUUUUCUUUUUUGUUAUCAAAAACCUUCCCAUUUCCCAAUUCCAGUCGAAGAGAAAGUGCCUUCGGAACUUCAAGCAUUCAAGCAAUCUUAGAGAAGCAAUGGAGGAAUCCAAACUUAUCUCCAUGGAGCUAAAGCAGAGAACUCCGUCGCGGAACUAUAGGGAUUAAAUAAAAAGUGUUUCUUACGGUUACACCCAACAGCCCACUUAAGCAAUUUGCCAUUCACAAAUCCAUUUUUUCCUUUGCUGCUAACUCUCAGUUUGGUUCUACUUCUGGUUCAUUUUGUUACUAAAAACGGAAGGGGAAACUCAGUACCAAAGGCUUGGCGAUCCUUGGUAGAGCUUAUUAAUGAUUUCACACCGAACUCGGUAAACGACAAAUAGGUGGUCUUUCCCCUGGGGAAGAGGAUCAAGUUGGCCCUUGCGAACAGCUUGCUGCACCAUCUCCCUUCAACCCUUUGUGUGAAAUGCGGCAAAAGGAAGGAAAAUCCAUGGACCAACCCCAUUGUUACCAUCGUAUGAACUGAAACAAGUCUGACACCAAGGUCCAUAUGACUCUUUAUCAACAGCCACUGUCGAAGAAGCUGAAAGAUCCUUGCACUUGGCCGCUUGAGUAUCUCCAUUGAUGCUACUAGUUUGUUUGAGGAAAUAACAAACAGAUUUGGUUUCAUCGCUGCUCUUGUCUCAAUAGAUUUGAUUUUAUUUCAAAUCCAAAGUGUAGAUAGAUGAAUUUCACGGUGGGAUAAAUUUGAUAUUGAACGGUGAAGCAGUUAUUCUGCCCAUUUGGGACAAAUUUUGGAUGUAUCCGAAUCGAAAUAAAAACUGUUCAGAUCGGUUAAAGUAUGCAAUGGUAGAACCGAGUCAAUUCUCAGUCCGGUUUUGGUUCAGUCACUCUGAACCGGACCAAAACUGAACCAAAAAUUGGAACUGAGCGAUUGACAAGCUUAAUCCAGGUUGUGAACAAACAAAUGCACAAUGACCACCAAAAGCAAUACCUGUACAGGCAGAAUGUGAUGCAGAGGUAAUUGGCAAGGAGGUAGCAGUAGCAGCAACAGAGGAGGAAGAGGACUCCAUCCUGGACAUCAUGUGACUAGAAUAGACAUCUCAUCCUGUGAAAAAGAUGAACCAACGGGAAUGGUAGUAUCAGAAGCAUCUGUGGUCUCAGACUGAUUCUCUUAGGAUUGAUUGGAAUGCCCACGAGAAUUAUUGGCCGGCCUCCCAUGAAGUUUCCAACAGGUCUCCUUUAUGUGCCUUUCCUUGCCGUAGUAAUCGCAUUGAAAACUGGCUUGUCAUUAGUAGUGGGAACACUGCUCUUUGCAACAUUACUAGAAGGCUGGGAAAUGGGACAUGGUGUAGUGUGUAAGGCAGAGCGUCCCUGUGGGACAGGCUGGAGCAUAACUGUACCCCGACUUUUUUCAACUUAAAGUAGGGAGUAGUCCUGCUCCAAUGUGGGAAAGGGAUCACGGCUAAGGACAUGAGGCCAGAUCUAAUCAAACUCCACAUUCAAACCGGCUGGGAAAUCAUAUACUUGCAACAUCUCCUCGUGCUUCUUGAAGCCUACAACAUCAGUUCCUCCUCAACUCAAAGCACUGGGCUGUCUUUUCCAAUUGGGAAUAGGUUUCUUUAGCAGUUUUCCAGAUAAGAGCAGCAGUCUCCAGCAGCAGGUAACCCCGAGCAAUAGAGGGGGUCGUGGAAUUCAGCAGAUAGGACAUCACCAAGCAGUUGGCAGCAUGCCAUUUGUCUUGAGAAGCACUGGUAGUAGAAGGGUAAGCAGUAGUACUUGUGAGGUGACCCAGAAUAACCUCGGGAACUGAUAGAUAGGAAACAAGAUUUGGACCACAUCAAAUAAUUGCUCCCAUCCCAAUUGAUGGAGCUAGCAGGGAAUGAAGGGUAGUUGCCAUUAGAACCACGACCUACCCCAUCCGAAAGAACUAAUGUAGUCAAAUCCUCUGACGCCAUAUGUGUUGGUAAGAGAAAUCACAAACAAGUAGUGUCCAGAUCUAGCACUUCAUAGAGAUCUGAGAAUAACACAGAAAGUAAUCCACAAACAAGUAAUGUCCAGAUCUAACAAUUCACAGGGAUUUGGGAAUAACAGAGAAAGUAAUCCACGAACUAGACCCCCGGUGGGAAGAAACUCACCACUGAGGUAAAACCCUAAUCGAACCUAAAUAGGGUAAAGGAAGUGCGGCUCUCUAGUGGAGAGGGAAGAAAGAGAAGCAGAGAGAGAGAGAGAGAGAGAGAGAGAUGGUGGCGGUGGCUAGGGCUGCAUGGAGGUGAAAGGCGAUGGAGGGAAGAAGAAGGGAGAAGGCAUUUGAGAUUUAGGGUUCGGGGAAGGGGAACUCACCCGCUUUAUACCAUGUUGAUUUGGGGAAUUGUGAUUUGUGUUAGUUGAUACCAAGCCCUCCUUUAUUUAUAAUAACAGGAUUAGAGUUUCUUAAAAACAUUACAAUGAAAAGUAUGCCCCUAUGGACAGUUCUACCCUUGUACCCACAUUACAAAACUUUCCCAUAUUACCCUCCCCCCUUGUCUCAUUAUUCUCCUUCAUCUGUAUUUUGUUUCUAAUUCCAGGAUCACCCCUUUUUCAUUAUUUUGUAAUCCCUUCCUUAUCCUCUCUUUUGUCUACCUAAAUACCUACCCCUAAAGAUUCCAUCUAUUUAACAAUCAGCCAUUCUCUUAUAAACUUCAAAAUAUUUACUGUUUUGCCACCAAUUUCUUGAUUCGAGUCUUUUAUUACUUUGGUGGGCCCAUAGCAGACCCAAACAAGGUUUCUGAAUCCUGGGAUCGCAUCACUGGGUGAUGAGAAGGUAUUGCAACUCUGGGAUUUGCGAACCAGUAACGGAAAGAUGCUGAUAAGGCCAUCAGGGGAGGAAAGGGAAUGUGCUUUUGAUUUCCUGAUGUUCUCUUGUCCUCAGAAGGGGUGUUUCUUGGGGCCUGGGCAGGGGGUGGUCACACUGCUGCUUGGUGGUUUGAUUUCAGUUGUCAGCUUUUCCUUCCUUUUUCACGUCUUCUACUUCCCCUCCUUUUUUUCUUGUUGUAUUGUUCCUUUUCCUUUUUCUAAUUGGAACUUUGGCUUACUUGAUGCAUAAGCUUCCGCUUGCUUAAUUUUUGGAAGGAAAUAGGAAGAGGAGAGAUGGGGACAGUUUUAUUAUGGUUCUAAGGAAUUAAGUCUGCAAGGGUACUUGUUCAGACAGCAAGAUUCUUAUGUGAAUUGGAUUCUGUUACAGGUGGAACUUCAUUUUGCAUUAAACAUUUUUUCUUUGGGAUAAAUCAUUAAGUACCCAUUUUCAACAUGGUUAAUUCUUUGUUUCAUGGAUUGGAUAUGUGAUCAUUAUUUGGGAACACACCCAGAAUAAGCUAGGAGUACAGUGUGACAACGGAAAGACCUUGAAUGUAUGCAAUGCCAGUUAAUUUUUCUAUUUAUACAUCUUCAAUAUUCUCAAUGUCAUGUUGCACACCAUGGUAAUGUUCUCUUGCUGCUUUGUAUUUUCCUUAUCGAUACCCAUAAUGAAUGCAUCUAGGUUAUUAAAAUGUGGCUUCCUUGCUUUCUUAAACCCCUGUCCAGACUUAAUAAAUAUGGCUUUCUAGCUCAUUUAAAUCCAGUUGGUAACAUCCAUCUUAAUUGAAUCCCCACAUCAUAAGAUAUGGGGAUCUGCUGACCCAGUCUGCUCCUAACUUCUGCACAGAAACCCACGUGUCAGACCAAUUGUAAGAUUCAGAUGCCAAUUAAAGUGGACUCUCCUUCCUAGCAACACAUUUAUGAUAUCCUUUGCAGAGUCGGUAAAACUGUUGUUGUUUUUCUCCAGAUGCCUCGGAUGUUGGUGAAUGAUGCUGUAGCACGAUAUUAUGGACUUGAGAAGGGGCAGGUGGUGAAAGUCACAUACAGUGGUGAAGUUACUGGAUCUCAUGUUACUUACCGUUGUGUUGUUUGAUGGUAAUCAUGGUUGUCACGGAGCCAAGGUGAAUCAAGGUGACCGAGGUGGAAGAAAUUCAAGGUGACACCAGCAAGGUGCCUAGGCAACAUCUUGACAACCAUGCUUUGGAUACUACCCGAGUUUAUUGCAAGUGCUCAGAGGUGGUGCAAGGACGAUGGAAAGGAAAAAGUGCAGGAAUGAGGUUGAGAUAGAACUGGGAAAGAACCUGGGGUUGAAAAGGAUUAUUGUGAAAUCGGAUGCACAGCAAGUUAUUGAGGAAUGUACAUACGUAUUAGCUAAUAUAGCCUGAAAAGACUUGAAUAGUUCAGUUUUUUUGAUCAGAGAAGGUGGAGAAGCGCCUCCACUACGCGAUAUUAUUGAAAACACCUGAAGAAGUCUUUCCUGCUUUUAAGUAAAGCAGGCUGAACAAGAAAGUUAGGUGGUUCUAACUACCACAUUUUAGACAAAUGAGUUAUGGAAGCUCCUCUAGCCAGAACAUGAGCUUCCAGAUUACAUGACCUAGGGAUAUAACAGAAAAGAAUAGUUCAGUUGGUGUGGUGCCCCUUCUAGACUUUGCUAUUUAGUUUUAUUGAUACGUAUGGUGUGCGACGAAAUAUGUAUUCUGUACUUUUGACACUGUUUUUAAUAUCAGGUUUUAGAACAA
Macadamia integrifolia is the source of this 8991-nucleotide long non-coding RNA. RefSeq lists it as uncharacterized. The transcript is spliced from 2 exons. NCBI's taxonomy places the organism in Eukaryota, Viridiplantae, Streptophyta, Magnoliopsida, Proteales, Proteaceae. The record is from RefSeq and is a predicted model, not a curated record.